UGUAUUACCGCGGCUGCUGGCANGUAGUUANCCGUGACUUUCUGGUUGAUNACCGUCAAAUAAAGACCAGUUACUGCCUCUAUCCUUCUUCACCAACAACAGAGCUUUACGAUCCGAAAACCUUCUUCACUCACGCGGCGUUGCUCCAUCAGACNUGCGUCCAUUGUGGAAGAUUCCCCCUACUCCUACGGGAGGCAGCAGUAGGGAAUCUUCCACAAUGGACGCAAGUCUGAUGGAGCAACGCCGCGUGAGUGAAGAAGGUUUUCGGAUCGUAAAGCUCUGUUGUUGGUGAAGAAGGAUAGAGGCAGUAACUGGUCUUUAUUUGACGGUAAUCAACCAGAAAGUCNCG
RNAcentral lists this ribosomal RNA (349 nucleotides) under Lactobacillus sp. JN1. RNAcentral describes it as "bacterial SSU rRNA". It matches the Rfam family "Bacterial small subunit ribosomal RNA", at positions 261 to 495 of the family's 1533-position model. Lineage: Bacteria; Bacillati; Bacillota; Bacilli; Lactobacillales; Lactobacillaceae. The record is from RNAcentral.